GGCGAAUGGGUGAGUAACACGUGCUUAAUCUACCCUUUAGAUUGGAAUACCCAAUGGAAACAUUGGCUAAUGCCGGAUACGCAUGGAAUCGCAUGAUUCCGUUGUGAAAGGAGCCUUUAAAGCUCCGCUAGAGGAUGAGGGUGCGGAACAUUAGUUAGUUGGUAGGGUAAUGGCCUACCAAGACUAUGAUGUUUAGCCGGGUCGAGAGACUGAACGGCCACAUUGGGACUGAGAUACGGCCCAAACUCCUACGGGAGGCAGCAGUAGGGAAUAUUCCACAAUGAGCGAAAGCUUGAUGGAGCGACACAGCGUGCACGAUGAAGGUCUUCGGAUUGUAAAGUGCUGUUAUAGGGAAAGAACACCUGGUUGAGGAAAUGCUUCCAGGCUGACGGUACCCUGUCAGAAAGCGAUGGCUAACUAUGUGCCAGCAGCCGCGGUAAUACAUAGGUCGCAAGCGUUAUCCGGAAUUAUUGGGCGUAAAGCGUUCGUAGGCUGUUUAUUAAGUCUGGAGUCAAAUCCCAGGGCUCAACCCUGGCUCGCUUUGGAUACUGGUAAACUAGAGUUAGAUAGAGGUAAGCGGAAUUCCAUGUGAAGCGGUGAAAUGCGUAGAUAUAUGGAAGAACACCAAAGGCGAAGGCAGCUUACUGGGUCUAUACUGACGCUGAGGGACGAAAGCGUGGGGAGCAAACAGGAUUAGAUACCCUGGUAGUCCACGCCGUAAACGAUGAUCAUUAGUCGGUGGAGAGUUCACUGACGCAGCUAACGCAUUAAAUGAUCCGCCUGAGUAGUAUGCUCGCAAGAGUGAAACUUAAAGGAAUUGACGGGGACCCGCACAAGCGGUGGAGCAUGUGGUUUAAUUUGAAGAUACGCGGAGAACCUUACCCACUCUUGACAUCCUUCGCAAUGCUAUAGAGAUAUAGCGGAGGUUAACGGAGUGACAGAUGGUGCAUGGUUGUCGUCAGCUCGUGUCGUGAGAUGUUUGGUCAAGUCCUGCAACGAGCGCAACCCCUAUCUUUAGUUACUAACGAGUCAUGUCGAGGACUCUAGAGAUACUGCCUGGGUAACUGGGAGGAAGGUGGGGAUGACGUCAAAUCAUCAUGCCUCUUACGAGUGGGGCAACACACGUGCUACAAUGGUCGGUACAAAGAGAAGCAAUAUGGCGACAUGGAGCAAAUCUCAAAAAGCCGAUCUCAGUUCGGAUUGGAGUCUGCAAUUCGACUCCAUGAAGUCGGAAUCGCUAGUAAUCGCAGAUCAGCUACGCUGCGGUGAAUACGUUCUCGGGUCUUGUACACACCGCCCGUCACACCAUGG
Molecule: ribosomal RNA, 1311 nt
Filed under: Mycoplasmopsis arginini
Lineage: Bacteria; Bacillati; Mycoplasmatota; Mycoplasmoidales; Metamycoplasmataceae
Description: bacterial SSU rRNA
Rfam family: Bacterial small subunit ribosomal RNA
Source: RNAcentral